UGAUGCGUGCCAAGGCAGGGAGCCUGAUUUCGUUCUCUUAAUCAGCGGGUCCUAGGUUCGAGCCCUAGUGCGUCCACCA
This 79-nucleotide transfer RNA is filed under the name Erythrobacter sp. AP23. RNAcentral describes it as "tRNA-OTHER". Lineage: Bacteria; Pseudomonadati; Pseudomonadota; Alphaproteobacteria; Sphingomonadales; Erythrobacteraceae. The record is from RNAcentral.